UUUUCUGUUCCUCUUUCUUUCUUUCUUUCUUUCAUUUUUAUGUUUUGGUCUAUAGUUUCUUUCGUUGUAGAUUGUGCUCUGUUGAAGAGAAUUGGCAUCUGGGUAAUGAUUUUUUGGAUAUUCAAUUGCUGGUUUUGAUUGCUAUCUCAUUUCACUUUUUUAUUAGUCUUUGUUGUUAGUGUUUUGGUAUUAUCCUUUUGGUUAUUUAUUUAUUUUAAUUUUACAUAUUGCAUUCAUUUUUAAUGAAUCAAAACUUUUGGUUAUGCAUCUUUCGUUCUAAAUAUUUGUUCCUAUUAUUUGGGUAAUGAUCAUUGCAUAUAGUCAUUGAUUUUAUAAUUGCAUUUGCUUUUAAUACUUAUGGUUGUGAAUAUUUAUGCCCAGAAUUAAAAGAUACCAUAUUGAAAAAGCACGUAAUUGUUUCGACGGAUAAGUGAGAUUUUUUUUUUUGGUAUAAUAUUAGUGAGAUUUAAUAUAGUGUUUUUUUUACUUGAAUUGAGUGUUUCUCAAAUUUAUUAAUGUUUUGAUUUUGGUAGUACACCAUGCUGCUUUAUUCAUGCUUCCUUUGUUUAAAGCCUUGUAAAAGGCUAUCUUAAUUAUCCAUAUUGCUCGAUCUUGAAGCAAGAGUAGAAUAUGACCAGUGUGUUAGCCUUUGUGCAUAUAGGAAUGAAAGUAGUAAUAUUGAAGUAAUAUAAUCGAGGGAAGUGGCAGAUGUACCUAAACAAAGAAGCAGGCUUGAAUAUCUAUUUUGUUAUGAUAAGUCCAUGUGGGAGGAGAGAAUUGAGAAGCCGGUUGGUAUAUCUUAAGCUGAAAAAAGAAUUGGAGAUAAUCAGCGAUGCACUGAUUGUGAUGCCAAAGGUGCACUUCUUUGCACCACUUGCUCAGGUUCAGGGUUAUAUGUUGACUCUACAUUGGAGAGCCAGGGUAUCAUAGUAAAAGUCCGCUGGCUAGGCUGUGGAGGGACAGGUAACGUUAUGUGCUCAGAAUGUGGUGGGCGUGGUCAUCUUGGACCCAAAUGACCUGCAUGGUUUGCUUUUCUUCCUGGGAUUUUGUUGUAGCCUUGUUUGUUCUAACAUUUACAAAUUAAAGGUCACAUUUAUUAUAGAGGUUUUGUACGGUUCCAUCUUUGAUGAUUUGUGAUAAAUUUUAUGCAAAAAUUUCAUGUAUUUGACUCAAUUCAUUUCUUAAUGUUAUCAUGCCUCAAUUUUUUUGAAAGGUAUUGAUCUGCAUUUAAUUUAUGGACAAACUAUGAGUUGGCUUCAUUUUGCUUCUGUUUGUCCAUUUAGUACAUUGAAACAUGAUGGACGCAUCUGCUUUUGCUAUUUUGCUUUCUUAACAAUAAACAUUAUAGCUGAAAACGGAGUUGGAAAUCAUGGUUCACCUAGAAUCAAAUUAAUUGCAAAGUUUUGACCUUUGCGUCAUUGUUAUAUAAUCCUUUGUGACCUGAUUUCUGGUGGGAUUCUGGUUUAUGACCAUAGUACAUAUUUAUUUGAGUGAAAUUUGAUGUUUUGGAGGAUUAUCUGCAUUAGCACUUCCAAAGCUUACUAAAACAGAAAAAAUUAGAGAUGAGAUUCAAUCUAAAAGAAGACUGAUUUACAGCAUAAGUUUAAGUCAUUCUUAAACCAAAAAGUGGAACUUUGAGAAAUUCACAUGUUUCUAAGUAUCAAUUGAAUCAUCUUUAGUGGUAUAUCCAGUGCAAGUUUUUGGACUCGAUGUAACCGUAAGUCCAUAUCAGUAAACCAUAUCAAAGUUGGCUUCCAGGAUUGUUAACCUCCAUGUCUCUGAAGCUCUUGAAUGCGAACUGGAAUGGACGGGUCGAACCUUAGGCCUUGUGGAUUCUCUGCAUAAGCAACGUAGUAAGCUGAAACGCAUGCUUGUGGCCACGCCAUUGCUAUCCGACACUGAGGAACACAAACAUUGACAUCAAACCUGAGUCCAUGUCAGGCUCAGCAGGAUCAUCAAAAUGAACAAGAUAUCUAUUCCAGUUCCAGUAAUGGUGGCACCGCCUAUCCCAGACACCAAGAAGCUGGAAUAGAUGAUGCUUGUGACAAUCGAGUUGAGGACCAGUGCAGUAGUUUUGGCAGGCGGGAAAGUUGUAGAAACUGAUAGAACCUUGAUGGCAUAAUUGAAUCUGGGAUUCACCCAACAAGCAUAAAGGGAUUGAAUGAGGGCAAAAACAACCGCAAUUGUACCUAGUGCCAGACUUGCAGCAGAGCCAAUUAGCACCAGCAGUAUCCCAACUGCACAUGUUAGCAAGGGGCUAAGCCAAAAUGCUGCUCUUAUGGCCUUUGAAGGGUAGCAGAGGGUGAUUUGUUGCCAAGUGAAAGCUACAAUUCCAGAGCAUGCUAUUGCAGUCAGGAGUGGGGGAUACCACUUCUUGGGGUGGAAAUGGUGGCUGUGUACAGAGAGCAGGCCACGGAUGGUGAGGAAGAUUACUAGGAUGGUGGUUAGGAUUAUGUGUACGAAGAAAAGGACUCGGAAAAGCCUCUGAACAAAUUGCGCCGCCACCUUUGCAGUCUCGAUCUGAAUGCUUGAUUCUUGAACCUGCAAAAAAAAACAAAGCAAUUAGGUUGACACUUUAGCAAAUGAACUCCUAGUAGAUGUCAUAAGCUACACACUAAAAGAUACACGAAAUUAGUUACUUAGAGGAUUAAUGAGGAAGAUCCAGAACAAGAAAUGAAGAAGCAAGAACGGAUAUGGGCCGGAAAUGCUACCUCGGAGAGAAAAAUGGGGUCAGUUGACUUAGAUCAGGAACUUCAAAGAAACAAGAAAUGAGUUCAGGGAAUUGCAGAGAAUCUUGAUGGAAAACGAUGAUGGGGAAAGAAAAUAUAAAACAAGAAACAGGUUCAAGAGUGAGAGAGAGAACCUCGAUAGGGUUUGUAGAUUGACGUCUAUCUUCUUGAACUUGAAUGAGGAAGUUCUGCAUAUUAAUAGCUGUAACAAAACUGGAGUCUUUAUUUCUUUCCAUUGAUAGCUAAACUUAAAAAUCUCCAAGUCAAGAACUCUUUAUUUGUUUAUAACAUUUCUUGGUUUUUCUCUCA
Hevea brasiliensis (rubber tree) is the source of this 3038-nucleotide long non-coding RNA. RefSeq lists it as uncharacterized. Lineage: Eukaryota; Viridiplantae; Streptophyta; Magnoliopsida; Malpighiales; Euphorbiaceae. The transcript has 3 exons. The record is from RefSeq and is a predicted model, not a curated record.